AGAGUUUGAUCAUGGCUCAGAACGAACGCUGGCGGCAUGCCUAACACAUGCAAGUCGAACGAAGUCUUCGGACUUAGUGGCGCACGGGGUGCGUAACGCGUGGGAAUCUGCCCUUGGGUGCGGAAUAACUUCUCGAAAGGGAUGCUAAUACCGCAUAAUGUCGUAAGACCAAAGAUUUAUCGCCCAAGGAUGAGCCCGCGUAAGAUUAGCUAGUUGGUGGGGUAAAAGCCUACCAAGGCGACGAUCUUUAGCUGGUCUGAGAGGAUGAUCAGCCACACUGGGACUGAGACACGGCCCAGACUCCUACGGGAGGCAGCAGUGGGGAAUAUUGGACAAUGGGCGAAAGCCUGAUCCAGCAAUGCCGCGUGAGUGAUGAAGGCCCUAGGGUUGUAAAGCUCUUUUACCAGGGAUGAUAAUGACAGUACCUGGAGAAUAAGCUCCGGCUAACUCCGUG
This 454-nucleotide ribosomal RNA is filed under the name uncultured bacterium. RNAcentral's name for it is "bacterial SSU rRNA". It matches the Rfam family "Bacterial small subunit ribosomal RNA", at positions 8 to 507 of the family's 1533-position model. The record is from RNAcentral.